UACGAAGGGGGCUAGCGUUGUUCGGAAUUACUGGGCGUAAAGCGCACGUAGGCGGUUCGUUAAGUCAGGGGUGAAAUCCCAGAGCUCAACUCUGGAACUGCCUUUGAUACUGGCGACCUAGAGUCCGGAAGAGGUUAGUGGAAUUCCCAGUGUAGAGGUGAAAUUCGUAGAUAUUGGGAAAAACACCAGUGGCGAAGGCGGCUAACUGGUCCGGUACUGACGCUGAGGUGCGAAAGCGUGGGGAGCAAACAGG
This 253-nucleotide ribosomal RNA is filed under the name uncultured bacterium. RNAcentral describes it as "partial 16S ribosomal RNA". It matches the Rfam family "Bacterial small subunit ribosomal RNA", at positions 524 to 776 of the family's 1533-position model. The record is from RNAcentral.